GUUGAACGCUGGCGGCAUGCUUUAUACAUGCCAGUCGAGCGGAAAGACGCGGCGCUUGCCUCUCUGGUGUUAGCCGCGGACGUGUGGCUUCGGCGUGGGUCCCCUCCCUAUAAGUCUCUGCUCACUACAGUAGCUAAUAGCUCAUACCAGCUAAUAUAUUAAACCGCGUGGCUCAAUAGUGCGCGCCGGUUUUGCUGUCGCUUUCAGAUUAAUCAGUGGCGGAUUAGCUAGUUGGUCAGGUAACGGCUCACCAAGGCAACGAUGUGUAGCCGGUCUGAGAGGAUGACCAGCCACACUGGAACUGAGACACGGUCCAGACUCCUACGGGAGGCAGCAGUGGGGAAUCUUGCGCAAUGGGCGAAAGCCUGACCGAGCAAUGCCGCGUGAAGGAUGAAGGUCUUCGGGUCGUAAAACGCUUUUAUAAGGGAAGAAAAAGUGUGUGAGAAACUAUGCACGUCAUGACGGUACCUAAACAGAAAGCCACGGCUAACUACGUG
This 497-nucleotide ribosomal RNA is filed under the name uncultured bacterium. RNAcentral's name for it is "partial 16S ribosomal RNA". It matches the Rfam family "Bacterial small subunit ribosomal RNA", at positions 28 to 507 of the family's 1533-position model. The record is from RNAcentral.